AGUGAACGCUGGCGGCAGGCCUAACACAUGCAAGUCGAACGGAAGCACAGUGCUUGCUUGCUGUUACGGGUGGGGAGUGGUGGAUGGGAGAGGAGAAUAUCGGACUCUACUUUUUCGUGGGGGUUAACGUAGGGAAACUUACGACAAUACAGCAUACGACCUACGGGUGAAAGCAUGGGAUCUUUGGACCUUGCGGGAUUGAAUGCGCCGAUGUCGGGUUAGUUAGUUGGCGGGGUACAGGCCCACCAAGGCGACGAUCCGUAGCUGGUCUGAGAGGAUGAUCGGCCACACUGGAACGUAGCCACGGUCCUGACUCCUACGGGAGGCAGCAGUGGGGAAUAGUGGACAAUGGUCGCAAGCCUGAUCCAGCCAUACCGCGUGUGUGAAGAAGGCCUUCGGGUUGUAAAGCCCUUUUUCUGGUUAUGAAAAGCAGUAGGUUAAUACCCCGCGUUUCUGACGGUACCCAAAGAAUAAGCACCGGCUAACUUCGUG
This 492-nucleotide ribosomal RNA is filed under the name uncultured bacterium. RNAcentral describes it as "partial 16S ribosomal RNA". It matches the Rfam family "Bacterial small subunit ribosomal RNA", at positions 29 to 507 of the family's 1533-position model. The record is from RNAcentral.